Molecule: ribosomal RNA, 430 nt
Filed under: Enterocloster clostridioformis
Lineage: Bacteria; Bacillati; Bacillota; Clostridia; Lachnospirales; Lachnospiraceae
Description: bacterial SSU rRNA
Rfam family: Bacterial small subunit ribosomal RNA
Source: RNAcentral
GAAGUUUUCGGAUGGAAUCUUGAUUGACUGAGUGGCGGACGGGUGAGUAACGCGUGGAUAACCUGCCUCACACUGGGGGAUAACAGUUAGAAAUGACUGCUAAUACCGCAUAAGCGCACAGUGCCGCAUGGCAGUGUGUGAAAAACUCCGGUGGUGUGAGAUGGAUCCGCGUCUGAUUAGCCAGUUGGCGGGGUAACGGCCCACCAAAGCGACGAUCAGUAGCCGACCUGAGAGGGUGACCGGCCACAUUGGGACUGAGACACGGCCCAAACUCCUACGGGAGGCAGCAGUGGGGAAUAUUGCACAAUGGGCGAAAGCCUGAUGCAGCGACGCCGCGUGAGUGAAGAAGUAUUUCGGUAUGUAAAGCUCUAUCAGCAGGGAAGAAAAUGACGGUACCUGACUAAGAAGCCCCGGCUAACUACGUGCCAGC